RNAcentral lists this ribosomal RNA (408 nucleotides) under uncultured bacterium. Its description in RNAcentral is "partial 16S ribosomal RNA". It matches the Rfam family "Bacterial small subunit ribosomal RNA", at positions 30 to 526 of the family's 1533-position model. The record is from RNAcentral.
AUUGAACGCUGGCGGCGUGCUUAACACAUGCAAGUCGAACGAAGUGGCGAACGGGUGAGUAACGCGUAAUCAACCUGCCCUUCAGAGGGGGACAACAGUUGGAAACGACUGCUAAUACCGCAUACUGAAGGAGGGGAUUGCGUCUGAUUAGCUAGUUGGAGGGGUAACGGCCCACCAAGGCGAUGAUCAGUAGCCGGGCUUAGAGGAGGAACGGCCAAAUUGGGACUGAGACACGGCCCAGACUCCUACGGGAGGCAGCAGUGGGGAAUCUUCCGAAAUGGACGAAAGUCUGACGGAGCAACGCCGCGUGAGUGAUGACGGCCUUCGGGUUGUAAAGCUCUGUUAAUCGGGACGCGGUACCGGAAUAGAAAGCCACGGCUAACUACGUGCCAGCAGCCGCGGUAAUAC